RNAcentral lists this long non-coding RNA (5726 nucleotides) under Nicotiana tabacum (common tobacco). Its description in RNAcentral is "long non-coding RNA (NTAB_LNC001774)". The record is from RNAcentral. Lineage: Eukaryota; Viridiplantae; Streptophyta; Magnoliopsida; Solanales; Solanaceae.
GUGUUACAGGAAGUAAGCCUGCCCGGGUGAAACUCUCCAUAAGGCCCACUAGAUGAACCAGAGCAUCCUGGAGUACUGAGGUAGCAUUGAACCACUCUAGGACCUGAGCUGGGCCUACCGAAAUUGUCUGGGCCGGAACCUCAUCUUCAAACUCUACCUGAGGCUCCGCCACUAGUACUGUUGCUCUAGGCUGAGCAUUGCCCCUGCCUCAGCCCCUAGCAUAGCCUCGUCCUCGUCCUCUAACCCUUGUGGGAACUGCUGUUGGGGGCUCGAGAUGCUGGUUAGUAGAUGAAGAAGCGCGUGUUCUUGCCAUCUGCGAAAAAACAGAGUAGAAAAUCAAUUAACAUUGAGAUACCAAACUGCACGAUAGAGAUGAAUAUAAGUGAAACUGUUCCUAACUUUGCAGCCUCUGGGGGGAUAAGCACAGACGUCUCUGUACCGAUCCCUCAGACUCUACCAAGCUUGUCCAUGAAUUGUGAGACCUAAGCAACCUAGAGCAUUGAUACCAAUUUGUCACGACCCGGAUUUCCCACCCUUGAGAGUCGUGAUGGCGCCUACUCGUGAAAGCUAGGCAAGCUGAGUAUUAUAGAUUCAUUAGCCCCUUUUACUUAACCUUUUUAACAAUUUUAAACAACAUGAAAUCAACAGUGGAAUAAUAAUAAUUAAAGACAUACGGAAGAAGAAAUCUGAUAACUUAGCCAAAUACAAAUACGAAAAAUACAAAGUACAUCUCUACCAAGAACUGGUGUUACAAUAUCAUGAACCAUCUACGAAUACUACAAAUAGUUGUCUGGAAAGAAAGAUACAAUCUGUCUCUGAUGUAAAUGAAAACAGAAUAUAAAGAUAGAAGGGGAUUCUAGGGCCUGCAGACGUCUGCAGGACUACCUCGGGUCUCCUGAUGGACUAAAGGCAGCAACCUCUCUCUACGGUCCAAAUGCUCUAGCACCGGGAUCUGCACACAAUGCAGAGUGUAAUAUCAGCACAACCGACCCCAUGUGCUGGUAAGUGUCGUGCCUAACCUUGGCGAAGUAGUGACAAGGCUAAGACAAGACUACCAAAUAAACCUGCACAGUUUAAAGCAUAAAUGACAAGUAAUAAUAACAGAAACUAGCAAUUAAAGAUGGGAGGGAGAAACAUGUUGCGGGGAAAUAUCCAGUACCAAUAGUAACUUAGGAGAAAACAUAAAGAACAUCUUAAAGUCAGCAUUAGUAAGAAUAAGGAAAUAGUAACAAUUAAUAUCCACUUUCAUUCUUUAUUGUUGCGGCGCGCAGCCCGAACCAAAUAAUAUAAAUCUGUUGCGGCAUGCAACCCGAUCCAAAUCAUAUAUCACUGUUGCGACGUGCAACCCGACCCCUCCUAUCCUCCCUUAUUACUCCAUGUUGAGGCGUGAAACCCGAUCCCAUAUAAUGUUGUUGCAGCGUGCAACCCGAUCCCAAUAUAAAAUUCAACACCAAUUACAAAAGAAUCCUGACAAGGGAACAAUUAGCAAACAACACUAUCCCGGCAAGGGAACCAACAAUAAGAAUAAACACAUCCCGGCAAGGGAGCCAAAAGUAAGAAUUAAAUACGUCCCGACAAGAGAAUCAGCUAUAACCAAACUUGUACCAACAUUUAACUUGACAAAUGAAACCUCAACUAGAACCAAUACUCAACAAUAAGCAAAUACCACGAGAACAGUCAUGAUUCUUGCCCAACACGGGGAGUUAACAACUUAGGCAUUUGUUGUACUUAUUAAGAUCACAACGAUUAUAAUUUAGGACUCACGGGCAUGUUUGACAAUGACGUAUAGAUACUCGUCACCACACCUAUACAUCGUACACUACACUAGCACAUAGCAAAUAAAGCACAAUACUUAUUUCCUCAAGCUAAGGUUAGACCAAACACUUAUCUCAAUGUCACGAACACAAUUCAAGCCUCAACUACGGCUUUACCUCUUGAUUCCACCACCAAUUCGCUUGUAUCUAGCCAUAAUUUACUUAACGAUAUCAAUAAAUGCUAAAUAAAUCAAUUCUAAUGCAUGGAAAUAGGUUUUCUAAAGAUUUUCCCAAAAAGUCAAAAAUCGACCAUGAGCCCACAUGGUCAAAACCUGAUGUUCGAACCAAAAACCGAUUACUCAUUCACCCAAGAACUCAAAUAUAUAAUUUGUUUUGAAAUUGGACCCCAAAUUGAGGUCCAAAUCCCCAAAAUUUAAAAAUCCUAGUUCUACGCAAAACACCCAAUUUCCCCCAUGAAAACCCUUGUUUUUGAUUUGAAAUCAGGUGGAAAGAUGCUAUAUAUUAAAGAAAAUGAGUUAGAAAUGACUUACAAUCGAUUUGGAGAAGAACUUUUCUUUAGAAAAUCGCCCAAGAGAGCUUAGGGUUUGAGGGAGUUUGAAAAAUGAAGAAUUUUCGGCAAAGUUAUUGUAGACAUGUGAUUUUUGACCAUCCCCAAGAUUUUUUAUAUUUUAGCAUGUAAAUAUUUAAUUUAGGCCUAAUAUCGCUAUUUCAACUAACUUUGACUCUUUUACUUUAUUUUUAUUACAAGAAAAUGAAAAUUAUAAAAAAUAGUUUCAUUAAUGUUUUAUAGUCAUUUUUAAUCUUGAAAAAUACCAAAAAUAAUUUUGUUUUAACGGUCAGUCUUAUUUUAAUAGUUAUUUUACUUAAGUAGGAUUAAUUAAUAAAUGAGAUCAUAUUUUUAGUCUCGUUCGUGGGAAAAAAUUAAAAUUUGGGCUCAAACGACCCAUUUUUAGGCCUAAUUUUCGGAUCUAGCUCAUAAUUCCUAGGCCCAUACCCCUUAACCUAAAAAAACCCUACAAAAACCUAGACCUAGACACUCUACAAUCAGUCAUUUGGACUGAAGACCUAAUGAGUAACGCCUAAAACCUUCACAAAAAAGAUACAUCAGCUGUUUUUUCAUAGAAUAGGACCCUCCCCCCACAGAUAUGUCUCCUUCUGAAAACAAAGCAACCAUUUUCAUGGCUUUUGGCUAAACAAAAACAAAGCAGCCAUCUCACAAACAACCACCCUCAACUUUCCAUUUUCUACCCAAAAACCAUCCCCGAGCUUCGUCUUCUCAGCGCCUAAAGACACAACUAACCUCUUUUAUCUUCUCCACACCCAAGAACACCAAACGACUCACCCCUCCACAUAGAUGUAGAUAGAGAACGGGCAGAGAGAGUGACGAUCAGGGAGGAGGACAGAUGAGAAACAGAGGCUUACUGACGGUCUUUCAUCAAACGAAAAUCAAUCGCACCUCCUUCUUCUUCAAGAGAAAUUUUCUCUUUAGAUUUCUGUCACACCUCCUUUUUUACUACACCCCCGGAAGGGUAUAUAAGGGAGUUUUUUCCAACUUAAAGUGACAAUCGAAACGGGAUUAUUUUAUUAAAAAAAAAAUCAGAGUCGCCACUUGGGAUAAUUUAUGGUGUCCCAAGUCAUCGGUUCAAAUCUAGAAUCGAGGAAAGAUUGACUCUGUAUUACAGUCCGCGAACACAGAAAUUCGGGUAAGGCAUUCUGUUAACCCGGGAGAAGGUGUUAGGCAUUCCCGAGUUCUGUGGUUCUAGCACGGUCGCUCAACUGUUAUUAUUGGCCAAAUUAUCUGAUUUUAAAAUACUUUUAAACCUAUGUGCAUUUUAGCUUUAAAUCGUUUUUAAUUAUUUUCAGAAAGAUUUCAACGUCAUCUAAAACAUGUCUUUGGACCACGCCACAUGAAAUGCACCCGAAAUCCGAGACACAUUUUAUUUAACGUUGUUAAGAUUUAGAUUUGGGUCACAUGAAAUGCACACCCGAGUUUAAAAAGGUAAUUUUUAAGAUAGCUCGCCUAAAGCAACUACGCUCUUUCAAGUUUGCGAGGGCCAUAGAAAAUUCAAAUAAUGGCACACCUCGAUUUCUAGAGGAUUAAAAUUAGUUGAGUGAGGGCCAUACAUUAUGGGAUUCAUAUGUGAAUGGCAUGCCUCACUUUAUUUUAAAAAGAUUCGUACUCAACUAAAGCGAAUUACGGAUGUUCAUAAGUGACCAUCCAACUUGUUUAGAAUCGAUUCACACAUGUAGAAAUUUAUAGAUCUAAUUUUGAAAGCAUCAAUAACAAACGGGAGGCUGCCAAGGAUAUUAUGGCCGAUCAUAUAGAGACAAAUAGCCAAACCUUUUAAUGCAAUUACGCAGUAGCACCAGACAAAAAAAAGCUGCAACAUAUAUAAAGUAAAAUCUUUAUCUAAAGGUAAUUGGGCAUUGUAUUAAAGUGAAAUUUAUACAUAUGGCUAAUUAUUUAGGAUCAAUCAACAUAUGCUAGCAGUAGUCAUCUCUAUUGCAAAGGAAGAAGAUUCAAAAGGAAGCAAUUGUAGGAGACCGUAUCACAGUAAUAGCAAAAUAGAAACAUGUGCUCUUAACCAACGCACCAUCAAGGGCGGAGCUUUAUAUUUUCGAAAACUUGACUUCACAACACGACCGGAAUAAGAACCUCAAACGAAGACCGGAAACAACAAAUUGAGAACAAAUUUCAGCUCAAUACUUCAGAAAUCAAGCUAAGCACGCUAAUCAAAUUCAUUAAAAUCAAUUAACUCAAAUGAUCUAGUCCAAGUUCAUCUAUAACUCAAACUUUUCAAAAUUUUCAGCACAUAUGCACCUUCAGCACAUCACAUCCACUCUAUUGAACACAACCAAACAUGCUUCGCAAAUUCGAAACAUCUGUAAUUCCCCACCAGAAUUUGACGACAGUGAUAUAAGUUAAACAGGUUUGAAUCUUCUAACUUACAAAUUACUUAGAAAAGGAUUCAAUCAUAUAAAGAUAACAAAUGUAUCGAAAUUUCAUGGAGAGGAACAAAAGACACGUUUCGUAUUAUGUCCAAGUAAAACUUGAAUUCAUAGUUGAAUACCUGGUUGGGCAAGAAACGAUUGAAAGAGCCAAAAAAAAAACACAACAAAUAGGGCUGAAGUUCGGCAAAUACGAGCAGAAAUUAGAAUGGAACCUCGAGCAACAGCUGGGAACUCGACUCGGCACCACGAAUGUUGAAUCGAACAUGAACUCAAACCCAAAUAUCAGUCAAAUUCCAUUUUUUGCGACAAAUAAACCCAGCCAAAAAUCCUCUACCUCCGUCUUGAUUUUCUAUCUGUUCUCUCUGCUGUGUGUGUGUGCUUAGCGACUGAAAUCCAUGAAAAAGAUGAAGUUUCUCUGGGGGCGGGGGGGACGGUUUUGGCUGACGAAGGUGAUGAAGAAGAAGACGGCUUAGGGGUGCUGUAUGGGGUGCCAGCGUUCAGGGGUUUUCACUUCAGAGGAAGCCAUGAAAUUUUUUGCUGUUUCUUCUAUGAAGACCGUCGAUCAGGGGGUGGGUAUCCUGUGUAUUUUUGUUGAGAAGAUGAAGUUACAGGGGAAUAGGGUCUUAUUUUGUCCUUUGCGGCAGAUUUCUAAAGAGGUCCCUCUUAUUUUAGUGUAUUUCCGUCUCUUUAAAUAGGUAGCAGAAAUGAAUUACCUAUUCACAAAUACCCCUUCCCCAAUUUUUUAUUUAACUCCACUCAAAUACUUUUCUUUGCUCUAUUCAGUAAUGCACUCCCAACCUCACCACUCUAGAAGCUUUCUAAUUAGUUAGGUAAGACUCCCCAAUUUAAACAAUCCCUAGACUACCCUUAAAACCUCAUGUUAAUUACUUCAAAAACCAAAUGGGUCAAAUUGACCCAAGAUUCAACCUAGAAAAUUAGAUUAAUUACUCAAAAUAAUAAUUAUCCCAACUAAUUAAAUACCAAAUUAAAAGAAAAUUG